CCAGAAGAAUGAGUUGUUAAAGAUGGAGGAUCAGGUUGAGACGCAGGAUGAGCAGGGGUUCUGGAGCAGAGCACAGAAACCUCUUCCUGUUCAGAGGAUUCUCAAGGAGACAGGACAGAAUAGACGGAACAAACCUACAAUCAAGGUUGCUUCCUCCUCUCCGAAACAGUCCAUGCAUGAUAAGGAAAACGUUCAAGUUCUAACCAAGAUAGCGGAGAAGAGAUUGGUGUCUCUGAGCUCCCGAAACAUGAGUAAGGAAUUGUGUGAGACCAGUGAUUGGGUGGUUCAAGAAGCCUUAUCCAGUACACUUGCAGUACAGCAGUCAUGCUUGAGUACUCCAGAGAGAUUAAAACCGUCCCUAUUCUCUGCAUCCAAUCUUAGUUGCAUCAGCUUACUAGUCAAUGCAUCAAAUUCACCUCAGGAUUGUAACUUAAAAACACCAAAUAGAAGAGAAGGUUUAGUUAAUUCUGGUGUUUUCAGCACCCCUAGUACAGGAACAUCUUGCAGUAAAACCCCGAGCUCAAUUCGGACACCAAACACAGACUCAAGCGGUCACUCUGGUAUUCGAUACAAUCCGUUUGAUAAUCAUCAAACCUAUGAUUCCCUGAAGCUCCCAACCUUGUCUCCGAGCGUGUUUAACGUCGUCCUCUCCCCGUCUAGCGAGGAUACUGUAAACGGAAGGUUCUGGAGCAUAGAACAGCAAGCAGACCUGUAUCCAACUUCAAUAUCGGACGAUUCUCCGUUAAAACAAUCAAUCCGCCAUAAAAACUAUCGAGAGGAGUUGGGAUCUAAGGCCCAGGAACAGAUAGAAAUAUAUUUUCAAAACUAUCAUGAUAUCACCUCCCCUCCAGAACUUGCUCCCACCGGACCUUUAUUGAUAGAAAGCCCGGACGCGUCCUACACCCAUCCGGAGUCAGGGAACUCGUCUAAAUGGACCCAGACCUGUAUCACUCUCCCCCCUGUUCUACCUCCCCAGGUGGAGCAGGUUCUGCGACAGUUUAAUUUUAUCACGGAUAUAUCCGAGGAACCAAACAAUCUGUCCAACUCAACAUUGCGCCGUAAACUGUUUAAUGUUGAUAUGCUGAGCGAUGAGUCCCAACACCAGUCUUCCUCAGAGGAGGAGGAGGAGGAUUCUCCCUGCAAGUUGAUGACUCCAGGAAAAGUCCUAAGAACCCCUGUCACUUCUAAAAGUACUAAUAGCGCUCAAUGGAGUAGUUCUCCUUUGAGAACCCGACUCCGAACCUCGUUCUCCUCUGCGGAUCUCCACUCUCCAAUGUUCUCUCCAAUAGCGAAGGAUCGUGCCUCCCGGAGCCUGAAUCAGUCCGAUGAUGAGGACCUUGAACCUGAACCUUGUAAUAAGCGAGAGUCCACGGUUUCAGGUUUGGACCGAAGUGAGAUGUUCAAAACUGCUGAACUCCUGGUGUUCUCCGAACCUGAUGAUGAGCAAGAUAUUGUGGUGGAUGAGACUAGAUUUUACAUGGAUACAGAUAGUAAUAGUGGAGUAGGUUGGGGUCUAACCCUACCUAGUCUAGCAGAGGAUAGUAAUAUAAAUACAGAGAGUAGAGUAGAUACAGGAUAUACAACCAGUACAAUAUCUUCAAUUCAUCCUUCAAACCUUCAGGAAUCUUCGGUUAACCCUUCUCUGCUGAAUAUGGAUAGUGGUAUGUCGACUAGUCAACAACCAGACCUGACCGUCAGUCUCAUUCUUCCCCAGCAUCAACCACAGUUAUUUAAUCCGGGAUUUAAUCCGCCAGCUAAUCCCGUUCUCAUGUCAUACGCAGCAGAAGCUACCAACGAUAUAUCAGUAGGAUUCCCUUUAGGUUCGUCAACACCCACUAGACGGUAGAUCAAUACCCGACGUACCCUACUCAUUCAAAUAUAUAUAUAUGGGUUAAAAAUAGACCUGAUAACAUGUUAAAUAUACUAUUUUAUAUGGACGACAUUUUGAGUUAUAAAAUACAAAAGUUAUUUUAAAUUUUUAAGAAAUCAACUCUUUUGUUCCUUUUUCAUGCUUGAACUAUGCUUUAGAAGUGUUAAAUAGGCCUUAAAUUAUGAUGCUAACUAAAAAUGUUCGUUUUAUCAAUGAUUUAUUAGUACUGUUUUAUUCUUCCAAAGGGAAAAUUACUUAUUUUGCUUAGGAUCCAUUUCACUUUGGUGCAAAUCUGGAUCUUGGAACCCUUCAGAGAUAAGGAAAUUUUUUAUUAAUCUCUCCUUUGUUAACAAUUUUUGAUUUGUGUUUUAAGAGGAAAACUUGGUUUUGGUUGAUAUUUGUCUUGGAUCCGGAUCCGUUGUUGCGGACCCACGUAUCUGGAUCCUAAGCACUGGUUUUAAUGUAUGCAUGUAUGUAAAUUCUAAAGCUUUCAAGAUGAAGAUUGAAGAUACAUGCUGUAUAUAGAUAGUUAGAUAUUGUGACCUUUUCUACAAAUGUAAUAGUAAAUUUUGUUUGUUUAUUAACGCUAAACAUAUUAACAUUUAUUUAACUUAAUGUAUUUUGAUAAUCAUGACCCUUUUCAUUUUCCAGUACAAAAUUACAUUUUUCUGAUGAAAUAAAAACUUAUGAAUA
RNAcentral lists this unclassified non-coding RNA (2563 nucleotides) under Eurytemora carolleeae. RNAcentral's name for it is "uncharacterized LOC111718425". Lineage: Eukaryota; Metazoa; Arthropoda; Copepoda; Calanoida; Temoridae. The record is from RNAcentral.